RNAcentral lists this long non-coding RNA (1370 nucleotides) under Harpegnathos saltator (Jerdon's jumping ant). Its description in RNAcentral is "uncharacterized LOC105190831, transcript variant X4". Lineage: Eukaryota; Metazoa; Arthropoda; Insecta; Hymenoptera; Formicidae. The record is from RNAcentral.
GUGUCGAACGGCCACGGAGCGAUGCGAAAAAAGAGACAGAAGAGGAGAGAGAGAGAGAAAGAGAGGCAGAGAAAAGGAGAGGAACAGAGAGAAAGAAAGAGAAAGAGAGGAACGGACGGAGAGACGGUGUACACGACGCGAGCGCGAGUACGCCAGCACCGAGUAGGCGAGGCACAGGUUGGUAAUGCGACGACGACGACGAACAGGGCUAACUCGAAUGGGAAAGGUCGGUACAGCCGCGAGUACAACUGCACCCGGCAUAGACUGUCUAGCGUAGCGGCGGAGACCGGAGGCCAGGUAGUUGGACGCACUAGGUGCCGCGCUGCUCCAAAUGCAGCCAUGCGUUAUCGCGCGUACGCUGCUUUCCUUUCGAAUAGCACGGCCUUUUGCUUUCUUCGUGACUCGCCGCAGGGCUGUUGGGUUCGGGCCUCCGCACGCGUGCAUCCAGGACCGACUACGGGGACCUUCGCACCCCGUGCAACUUGAUCUUCGAAAAUCUGGUGUAUGUGUGUAUGUGGUCUCAGCGUGAACCUCGGCUGUGAAGUUACAUGUGAAACACCUCGCGAUGAAUAAUGCUUCGCUCGAUAGUUUUGCCGAAGGAGAAGGAAAGCCGAGAAGAAGGAAGUUACGAGAGGAGUCGGAAUCUUUCGAAAACAAUAUGACAUAAACGAGGCGUUAUAUCGCGCGAAACUGCAUGCGAUUUAAAGUUGGACGGACGACGAAUGUAUUACAAAUCAAUCAAGAUCAAUGCGCUCUAAGAAGAUUAGUAUUAAUUAUUGUUAAUAUUUAAAUCAAUUAAAAUGGGACAUAUUACGUUUGCUACCUCUCUGACGAAUAAUAACUUGAUGGACUAUUAACUUCGUCAUAUUGAGAGAGCUCGUUACAGAGCAUCGAUAAGAGCAAUCUGUUGCUGUAGUCACUACCACAAACGUAACGCAGCAUUCGUUUGAGUCGGCGGCACGUCCCCGAAUUCUAAUUCUAAGAGACGCGACGUCACCGGACGUCAAAUUUUCGGAACAAUACACAGCCAGCGCACGUGGUUAUAUUUACGAGAUACACGUAAGGUUAUUUUCGCCGGACGGCACAACGGCCGUGAAUCCCGAGACGCCGCAAACCAGCCGAGCGCCAACAACUUCCUGGAAUAUUCCACGCUUUCUACCUGCGCGUCAGAACGACGAUUCAAGGCGCGCUUAACACCUGGUGGUAAACGUAUUGACUGAUGAAAACACCGCUCCAGCAUUGCCGGUUACAAGCAGAGAUACCACUCGAUGUUGAUUGCAUCGACAAUUUGACACGUCGUUGUAACCAUGCUUGCAUCCGACGCUCGUCACGCGAGUAGCAAAGCAACUUGACCCUGCGCCAAAUGCAAC